CAUAACAUAUCUGUUUUUUAGAAGUUUGAAAUUGAUUUGGACGAGCAUUACGUGAAAGAUAGUUGUGAGGAUAUUUUGAAAAAUAGAAGCCUAAAAUGGCGGUACAAGUUAAAACAGCUAUUUGAAAGUGCACGUUCGGAGGAAGAAGCUCGUAAAAUUGAAGUGCCAGAGUUGACCCGAGAAAAUUGGAAUAAGCUUUGUGACAUCUGGGCUGAUCCAGAGCAUAAGGUAAUUUAUAUUCAUGUUAUUAUCCUUGUUGAUUAAGUUACAUAUAUUUAUAUGUUCUUUGUAGAAACGAUGCGACAUAAAUAGGGUCAAUCGAAGUAAGCUUAAAAUUAAUCAUUUCAUGGGGUCAAAAGCGUUUGUACCGGCUCGUGCUGAACUUGCUGAAAAUGGAGUAUAGCCUGAUAGAAUCGAGUUCUACAAGAGUACUCAUUACUCGACUGAAAAAGGAUGGUCAUCUCUAGAGGCUGAGACAAACUAUAACACCAUGAAAGAUUUGAAAGAUAUAUAUACUUCGGGAGAGCCAGGAGAGCCUUGCAUGACUAUUGAUCAAAUUAUGGAUACUGUACAUGGUAGAAAAUCGGGGUACAUAAAAGGUCUCGGUUAUGGUCCGAAACCUGAUACUACUAGAGCCACACAAAGAAGAACAGCAGAGUUAGAAGACUCCCUUAGAAAGACGAAAGAGGAAGCUGCUAGUGCCCAACAUGAUUUACAGAAACGAUUAAAUGCAGCUGAAGUUGUGGUAGAAACCCAACAGUCCAAGAUAGAAAACCAGCAGUCCCAGAUAGAAACUCAGCAGGCCCAGAUACAAGUAUUAAAUUCUCAAUUGGUUACUUUAGCAGCACGCCAAGAGGAAAUGUUUAAAAAAAUGAAACAUUUUGCUAGCUCAUCGCCAUCAAGGUAUUAAAUGUGGGAAUUGAAUCAAGACUGAUUGCAAGCUAAGUGUCACCACAUUAUUAGUAUUUUGGAAGAAACCUGCACUAUCUGUCUUAGUUUAGGAGUAAUAUUUCGUAUAUUUCAGUUGGAUUGGUACUUUGGAAGAAACUGCAUUGUCUAUCUUAGUUUAGGAGUAAUAUUUAGUAUAUUUCAGUUGGAUUUUCUUGUUAGUAGACAUAUUUUACUUUUAUUUAGGAGUUUGUAAUGAGAUAUGAUCUCAGUACAAUUUUAGUUGUUAAUUGUAUGAUCAUGGGUGAAUUGUAUCA
Molecule: long non-coding RNA, 1205 nt
Organism: Lycium barbarum (goji berry)
Lineage: Eukaryota; Viridiplantae; Streptophyta; Magnoliopsida; Solanales; Solanaceae
Exons: 4
Source: RefSeq, a predicted model, not a curated record